AGUGCAAGCCGACUUGCCGCUGGUCUGAGGUUAAUUCUUCGGAAAAGAGGAAAGUCCGGGCAACAUAGAGCGCCAUACUUCCUAACAGGAAGGUGUCAAACUGGAGACGGUUUGAUAACAGAAAGUGCCACAGAAAAUAUACCGUCCUGAUACCUAUCGGGAUAAGGGUGAAAUGGUGGGGUAAGAGCCCACCGCUUUCUCAGUGAUGGGAGAGGCAAGGCAAACCUUAUGGGUUGAAAGAUCAAAUAGGUCCCGCAAUGAAACUAGUUUCAUAAAAGGUGGCUCGUCUUUAUGCGGGAUGGGUAGAUCGAUUGAGCCUGGUUGCAAAAUCAGGCCUAGAUAGAUGGCAGGAGAUUCAUCCAUUAAGGAUGUUGAACAGAACCCGGCUUACAGGCUUGCACUUUUU
Molecule: RNase P RNA, 406 nt
Filed under: Aquiflexum gelatinilyticum
Lineage: Bacteria; Pseudomonadati; Bacteroidota; Cytophagia; Cytophagales; Cyclobacteriaceae
Description: RNase P RNA component class A
Rfam family: Bacterial RNase P class A
About the family: Ribonuclease P (RNase P) is a ubiquitous endoribonuclease, found in archaea, bacteria and eukarya as well as chloroplasts and mitochondria. Its best characterised activity is the generation of mature 5'-ends of tRNAs by cleaving the 5'-leader elements of precursor-tRNAs.
Source: RNAcentral